This 459-nucleotide ribosomal RNA is filed under the name uncultured bacterium. RNAcentral's name for it is "partial 16S ribosomal RNA". It matches the Rfam family "Bacterial small subunit ribosomal RNA", at positions 338 to 795 of the family's 1533-position model. The record is from RNAcentral.
CCUACGGGUGGCAGCAGUGAGGAAUAUUGGUCAAUGGGCGCGAGCCUGAACCAGCCAAGUCGCGUGAGGGAAGACGGUCCUAUGGAUUGUCAACCUCUUUUGUCGGGGAGCAAAAGCCGCCACGCGUGGCGUUCCGAGAGUACCCGAAGAAAAAGCAUCGGCUAACUCCGUGCCAGCAGCCGCGGUAAUACGGAGGAUGCGAGCGUUAUCCGGAUUUAGUGGGUUUAAAGGGUUCGGAGGCGGAAGAUGAAGUCAGCGGUAAAAAUGAGAGGCACAACCUCUUCGAGCCGUUGAAAAUGGUUGUCUUGAGUGAGCGAGAAGUAUGCGGAAUGCGUGGUGUAGCGGUGAAAUGCAUAGAUAUCACGCAGAACCCCGAUUGCGAAGGCAGCAUACCGGCGCUCAACUGACGCUGAUGCACGAAAGUGUGGGUAUCGAACAGGAUUAGAUACCCUGGUAGUC